AUAGCUGGUUCUCUCCGAAAUAGCUUUAGGGCUAGCCUCAAGUGAUGAUUAUUGGAGGUAGAGCACUGUUUGGACGAGGGGCCCCUCUCGGGUUACCGAAUUCAGACAAACUCCGAAUGCCAAUUAAUUUAACUUGGGAGUCAGAACAUGGGUGAUAAGGUCCGUGUUCGAAAGGGAAACAGCCCAGACCACCAGCUAAGGUCCCAAAAUAUAUGUUAAGUGGAAAAGGAUGUGGCGUUGCCCAGACAACUAGGAUGUUGGCUUAGAAGCAGCCAUCAUUUAAAGAGUGCGUAAUAGCUCACUAGUCGAGUGACACUGCGCCGAAAAUGUACCGGGGCUAAACAUAUUACCGAAGCUGUGGAUUGUCCUUUGGACAAUGGUAGGAGAGCGUUCUAAGGGCGUUGAAGCAUGAUCGUAAGGACAUGUGGAGCGCUUAGAAGUGAGAAUGCCGGUGUGAGUAGCGAAAGACGGGUGAGAAUCCCGUCCACCGAUUGACUAAGGUUUCCAGAGGAAGGCUCGUCCGCUCUGGGUUAGUCGGGUCCUAAGCUGAGGCCGACAGGCGUAGGCGAUGGAUAACAGGUUGAUAUUCCUGUACCACCUAUAAUCGUUUUAAUCGAUGGGGGGACGCAGUAGGAUAGGCGAAGCGUGCGAUUGGAUUGCACGUCUAAGCAGUAAGGCUGAGUAUUAGGCAAAUCCGGUACUCGUUAAGGCUGAGCUGUGAUGGGGAGAAGACAUUGAGUCUUCGAGUCGUUGAUUUCACACUGCCGAGAAAAGCCUCUAGAUAGAAAAUAGGUGCCCGUACCGCAAACCGACACAGGUAGUCAAGAUGAGAAUUCUAAGGUGAGCGAGCGAACUCUCGUUAAGGAACUCGGCAAAAUGACCCCGUAAAUCGGGAGAAGGGGUGCUCUUUAGGGUUAACGCCCAGAAGAGCCGCAGUGAAUAGGCCCAAGCGACUGUUUAUCAAAAACACAGGUCUCUGCUAAACCGUAAGGUGAUGUAUAGGGGCUGACGCCUGCCCGGUGCUGGAAGGUUAAGAGGAGUGGUUAGCUUCUGCGAAGCUACGAAUCGAAGCCCCAGUAAACGGCGGCCGUAACUAUAACGGUCCUAAGGUAGCGAAAUUCCUUGUCGGGUAAGUUCCGACCCGCACGAAAGGCGUAACGAUUUGGGCACUGUCUCAACGAGAGACUCGGUGAAAUCAUAGUACCUGUGAAGAUGCAGGUUACCCGCGACAGGACGGAAAGACCCCGUGGAGCUUUACUGUAGCCUGAUAUUGAAAUUCGGCACAGCUUGUACAGGAUAGGUAGGAGCCUUUGAAACGUGAGCGCUAGCUUACGUGGAGGCGCUGGUGGGAUACUACCCUAGCUGUGUUGGCUUUCUAACCCGCACCACUUAUCGUGGUGGGAGACAGUGUCAGGCGGGCAGUUUGACUGGGGCGGUCGCCUCCUAAAAGGUAACGGAGGCGCUCAAAGGUUCCCUCAGAAUGGUUGGAAAUCAUUCAUAGAGUGUAAAGGCAUAAGGGAGCUUGACUGCGAGACCUACAAGUCGAGCAGGGUCGAAAGACGGACUUAGUGAUCCGGUGGUUCCGCAUGGAAGGGCCAUCGCUCAACGGAUAAAAGCUACCCCGGGGAUAACAGGCUUAUCUCCCCCAAGAGUUCACAUCGACGGGGAGGUUUGGCACCUCGAUGUCGGCUCAUCGCAUCCUGGGGCUGUAGUCGGUCCCAAGGGUUGGGCUGUUCGCCCAUUAAAGCGGUACGCGAGCUGGGUUCAGAACGUCGUGAGACAGUUCGGUCCCUAUCCGUCGUGGGCGUAGGAAAUUUGAGAGGAGCUGUCCUUAGUACGAGAGGACCGGGAUGGACAUACCUCUGGUGUACCAGUUGUCGUGCCAACGGCAUAGCUGGGUAGCUAUGUGUGGACGGGAUAAGUGCUGAAAGCAUCUAAGCAUGAAGCCCCCCUCAAGAUGAGAUUUCCCAACUUCGGUUAUAAGAUCCCUCAAAGAUGAUGAGGUUAAUAGGUUCGAGGUGGAAGCAUGGUGACAUGUGGAGCUGACGAAUACUAAUCGAUCGAAGACUUAAUCAAAA
This 2078-nucleotide ribosomal RNA is filed under the name Staphylococcus aureus. Its description in RNAcentral is "partial 23S ribosomal RNA". It matches the Rfam family "Bacterial large subunit ribosomal RNA", at positions 845 to 2925 of the family's 2925-position model. Lineage: Bacteria; Bacillati; Bacillota; Bacilli; Caryophanales; Staphylococcaceae. The record is from RNAcentral.